UUCUCGAAAUUUAACAACUUUAAUCUCGAGAUGGUUUUAUUUUUUUUAUUAUUGCUUGGCCCUAAUCCUCUUCCGUACAGUACAGAGGAACGAUAUCGUAGAAAUUACUUUUUUUUAAAUCACUGAUGAACGAUACAGCUAAUCAGAAUCAUUCCGAAUCAUUCCUACUUAAAAGCGCGCGCUGCAUUUACGUUAACGGAAUGUGACUGAAGCGCGCUUACAAAAAAAAAAAAAAAAUACCGUUAUCGUCCGUCCGAUGGUGUGACGCUGACAUAGUUAUCGUUCUUUGUGAACGGACCUUUCUUUACUGCACAGUUGUGACGCAAAGAUAAAGAUGUUAUCACUCCAUAAACCGUCAUCAUUCAGAUUCAGCAAUGAGCGAAACAACAGGGAUUCAGAAGCAGCGUGAAAUCUGUCGUUUACGGCAACAAAUGAAGUGGAGGAGGUCGUACCUUUGGAACCGCUGCUUGCAGCAAUAUGUUCCGCAUGGGUAACGGCGCCGUGUUGAGCAGCGAUACCACAAUGACCAGGACGUCCGGUCGAGCCGGCGGACAGUCCAUCGCGAAGUGCAUAAGAACACGAACUCCAUCUUUAUCGUACACCGUCACAGGUUGGACAGGCUGGGCUCGGAGCUACGCGCUGGGCUGCUCUGGAGCGAGUGGGAUGGGGAUGAGAAGGGCUGAAAGAAAGGGCUGCCAGGAGCCGAGCCGGCUGUCACCGCCUGAGCCCGAG
This is a long non-coding RNA of Megalobrama amblycephala (Wuchang bream), 732 nucleotides long. RefSeq lists it as uncharacterized. The record is from RefSeq and is a predicted model, not a curated record. NCBI's taxonomy places the organism in Eukaryota, Metazoa, Chordata, Actinopteri, Cypriniformes, Xenocyprididae. The transcript has 3 exons.